GUACUCGCUUUGGCAGCACAUAUAUUAAAAUUGGAAAGAUACAGAGCAGAUCAGAAUGGCCCCUGCACAAGGGUGACAUGCAAAUUCAUGAAGCAUUCCAUAUUUUU
This 107-nucleotide small nuclear RNA is filed under the name Mandrillus leucophaeus (drill). Lineage: Eukaryota; Metazoa; Chordata; Mammalia; Primates; Cercopithecidae. The record is from RNAcentral.